Molecule: long non-coding RNA, 614 nt
Filed under: Homo sapiens (human)
Lineage: Eukaryota; Metazoa; Chordata; Mammalia; Primates; Hominidae
Description: HSALNT0291776
Source: RNAcentral
CGCCUAGGAGCAGAGCGGAGGCCAAGCCGAAGGUGGUGAAGACGGCAAAGUCAUUCAGCUCGGCUCCUGCCCCAGACGGCCCAAGAUCCUGACAACCUCAGGAGAUGGUGCUAGAAUUCUCCCCUAUUUUAUGAAUGAGGAAACUACAGUUAAAAGAGAGGAAGAUACUUGCUCAAAGUCACAUGGUAAGUAGAACCAAAUCCCAUCUGUUUGAUUCUAAAUCUGCUGUUUCUUCGCUGCAGGCAUAGAUUUCAGCAGGAGGAGGUGUGUGGGAUAUGGCAGUGAACGAGCUCAAUGGCCAGGCCUGCGAGGCAGCAGCAGCCUCCCUGUGUGUGUGGGACCGUCCAGCCCAGGCCCCCCAGUGCUCCCAGUCUCUCCCAGUCUCUCCCACAACAGGGAAUUGGCUGGCCCUGCCCAUCUUCACAGUCUGUCUUGUCUCUGUUUUUACUCUAAGACCACAUUUGUACACCUUACACUCAAUCUGCUUGAGAAACUGAGUCUCUUGGAGAAAGAGCCCCAUUCCUCCCCAAAACUGAGAAGCCCCGCUGGUUGGGGCAAAUGUACCAGCCACAAAUAGAUCCUGCACUUGAGUGAAAUAAACAAGUUUCAAGGUG